CCCGCCCAGCCAGUGACACUCAAACCACGCUUUAUGACAAGGAUCCACUUCUCUGACUCGUCGCAAGCACAGUUUUAAUUUGGAGCUUCUUUUUUGACAGCUCGACAACACCAGCUGCAGAAGCAGCAGCCCUGCCUGGUCAUGUGAUUAGCAUCCAAUCUGUAUGGGAAGAGAAGGGGGACAAACGACACGGAACACACUCGACUUCCAACAAGGGAACACAACACUGCACUGCCAAGAUUAUGUCGUCUAUGGUCACCCGAUCCAUGUCAUCAUCGGGGGGACCCUGUGCUCCACACAUAGACAAGUUCCAAACCACUAGAGAAGCCCAGAUGAGCAGACAUGUCGACUU
Long non-coding RNA from Notolabrus celidotus (New Zealand spotty), 352 nucleotides. RefSeq lists it as uncharacterized. NCBI's taxonomy places the organism in Eukaryota, Metazoa, Chordata, Actinopteri, Labriformes, Labridae. The record is from RefSeq and is a predicted model, not a curated record. The transcript is spliced from 3 exons.